This is a long non-coding RNA of Gallus gallus (chicken), 1122 nucleotides long. RefSeq lists it as uncharacterized. The record is from RefSeq and is a predicted model, not a curated record. The transcript is spliced from 7 exons. NCBI's taxonomy places the organism in Eukaryota, Metazoa, Chordata, Aves, Galliformes, Phasianidae.
AUGCAAUGUACCUGAGUGAUUGGAAGGGGUGGAGCCAGGGUGCACCCCUUCCCAGACCUCAUUUAACGGUUGGCGGUGGAGGUGAGGGUACCUCAUCUGGAAGUCCUUGUAUGUUUCAGGCCUUUCAAAGGUUCCAGACAGAUAUGCAAAAUGCUUGUAAUGAAGCUGCAAGCCAUGUGAAAAAGGCGUGACAAGAUACUGCAUGUAGCAGAGAGAGGCUCCUGCUUCAAGAAGAAGAAAAAGAAGAGAGGGCAUACUCCCGAGCCUGAAUUAAGAGCCAAGUGAAGUACCAUCCAGAGCAGUGAAAAUAUGUUUGGCAGCUAUAGAGCAGUCAGCUGCACACACAGGGAUGACAGUGUCAAAGGACAGCCUUUCAUGAGGACCAGAAGGCCCUUAAGGUCUGCUUUCAGUCUGUUACUAAACACCAAGGCUAAUAUUCUUCUCCUAAUGUGACCUUGCUGGGGCAGAGAUUUCAAAACAAGCAGCCUCUGACAACUACCUGACAAUGCAGGAUGAAUAGAAGACACCAGGAAACUCAAGACAUCUGAAAUGCUUCGGACUGCACAGUGCCAAAGACAAGUUGUGUGAUAGAUGUGAAAGGGUGUACUGCAUUGAAACCCUUUUAUACGUUUUCCUCUGGAUAACUCUGGAUAAAUAAUUUUGUGCUGACUUGAAAAGUUCCUGGAAAACUUACCUGUGUGGUGGUUGUUUUGAGAAGACUGAAGAUCCAUCCAUAUGGAGAGCUGCAGGUGCUUCUGGGUGAGGGGAAAUGGACAUGCCCUGUGGAAGCAUGAGUGGCAUGAGGGUGACUCAGAUUCUGUGCAAGUCUGACAGUGCUGUGGGGGAGAGGAACUGGGGCUCCCACUCUCCCCCCUGCACCCUGCUGGUUGAAUUGCAAGUGGAGUACAGCCAGGAGGACCACCUGCAAACACGGAGCUCAAAGAGUACAGGUUAACUAAAUGGCCUUGGAGUGAGCUGACAGUGUUCAGGAUCACAGAACUUGCAGGAACAUGAAGAGAUCUUGCCAAGUUGUGGAAAGAGAAAAAUGGAAAUGUAAUGAUGAAAUGCAAGGAAACAGUUUGGCUGUGAUGCAGCAUAAGGAUACUCCAUCUUGCCUGGAAA